RNAcentral lists this small nucleolar RNA (161 nucleotides) under Trichoderma gamsii. Lineage: Eukaryota; Fungi; Ascomycota; Sordariomycetes; Hypocreales; Hypocreaceae. The record is from RNAcentral.
CCGUCUGUUUCCAUGCUCGGUCAGCGUGUCCACGCCUGCUGAUCUUGAGCCGGAUGCCCAUACUUGUAUGAGCACAAGACAAGAACAUUCACAACGCUUUUUGAGUACGAGGCCUUUAUUUCUCUUAUGGAGGUUAUCGUAAUUUAUCUGUUGUUACAUGC